GACGAACGCUGGCGGCGUGCUUAACACAUGCAAGUCGAACGGAAAGGCCCUGCUUUUGUGGGGUGCUCGAGUGGCGAACGGGUGAGUAACACGUGAGUAACCUGCCCUUGACUUUGGGAUAACUUCAGGAAACUGGGGCUAAUACCGGAUAGGAUCUCCUGCUGCAUGGUGGGGGUUGGAAAGUUUCGGCGGUUGGGGAUGGACUCGCGGCUUAUCAGCUUGUUGGUGGGGUAGUGGCUUACCAAGGCUUUGACGGGUAGCCGGGCUGAGAGGGUGACCGGCCCCGCUGGGCCUGAGAUACGGCCCAGACUCCUACGGGAGGCAGCAGUGGGGAAUAUUGCACAAUGGGCGGAAGCCUGAUGCAGCAACGCCGCGUGCGGGAUGACGGCCUUCGGGUUGUAAACCGAUUUCGCCUGUGACGAAGCGUGAGUGACGGUAAUGGGUAAAGAAGCACCGGCUAACUACGUG
This 468-nucleotide ribosomal RNA is filed under the name uncultured bacterium. RNAcentral describes it as "partial 16S ribosomal RNA". It matches the Rfam family "Bacterial small subunit ribosomal RNA", at positions 28 to 507 of the family's 1533-position model. The record is from RNAcentral.